AGGGAAGAACAUAUGUGUAAGUAACUGUGCACAUCUUGACGGUACCUAAUCAGAAAGCCACGGCUAACUACGUGCCAGCAGCCGCGGUAAUACGUAGGUGGCAAGCGUUAUCCGGAAUUAUUGGGCGUAAAGCGCGCGUAGGCGGUUUUUUAAGUCUGAUGUGAAAGCCCACGGCUCAACCGUGGAGGGUCAUUGGAAACUGGAAAACUUGAGUGCAGAAGAGGAAAGUGGAAUUCCAUGUGUAGCGGUGAAAUGCGCAGAGAUAUGGAGGAACACCAGUGGCGAAGGCGACUUUCUGGUCUGUAACUGACGCUGAUGUGCGAAAGCGUGGGGAUCAAACAGGAUUAGAUACCCUGGUAGUCCACGCCG
RNAcentral lists this ribosomal RNA (369 nucleotides) under Staphylococcus aureus. Its description in RNAcentral is "bacterial SSU rRNA". It matches the Rfam family "Bacterial small subunit ribosomal RNA", at positions 441 to 802 of the family's 1533-position model. Lineage: Bacteria; Bacillati; Bacillota; Bacilli; Caryophanales; Staphylococcaceae. The record is from RNAcentral.